CUUGUUUAAAUGCUAAAGUUUUUCAUUAACCAAAAUCAUUAUGCAGGUUGAUCCUAAAACCCAUUGAACAUAAUGAUCCAACGCCAUCUCCCAAUCUUGAAUUCUUUGUAUUUGAGGCAGAGGAAGAUGAUGUUGAAGGGGAUUCCUGACGAGAUUACCCGACUUCUUGAGCACGAAAGAAGCUCAUUCAGCUGUAUCAUGAGAAUCAGCAGAACAGUCAAACUGGGGCAUU
This 232-nucleotide long non-coding RNA is filed under the name Lathyrus oleraceus (garden pea). Its description in RNAcentral is "Pisum sativum (pea) long non-coding RNA (PSAT_LNC040734)". Lineage: Eukaryota; Viridiplantae; Streptophyta; Magnoliopsida; Fabales; Fabaceae. The record is from RNAcentral.